Cucumis sativus (cucumber) is the source of this 376-nucleotide long non-coding RNA. RefSeq lists it as uncharacterized. Lineage: Eukaryota; Viridiplantae; Streptophyta; Magnoliopsida; Cucurbitales; Cucurbitaceae. The record is from RefSeq and is a predicted model, not a curated record. The transcript is spliced from 3 exons.
UGUUUUCAGCCCAGCCGCCGCCGAUUCCUUCUCCUCCGUCGUCUGCACUGCCGCGCGACUCUCCGGCCAUUUGUAUACGGUCUCUCCGUCGCACGUCAUCUCUUCGCAAAGCCACUGCUCGAUUUCUUUCGUGAAGAUUUGGGUUCGUUCUUCAUAGACUUCAACGUGGUUAAGGAGCUUAACAAAUUUGAAGGCAAAGGUAAUAAAGGCGGCAAACCGGCGAGGGGCAGGAAGGAAGCGUGAUGCCAUAGGAAACGUGUAAUUGCUUCCGCUUAAUUAAGAUUGAUUUGAAAUUUAGUUUACAAACGUUUGUUGCAAACAGUAUUAGUUUAUGUUUUCUUGAAUGUUUAAAAAUCAGGCCUGACUUGAAGAUGUU